UUCCUACGGGAGGCAGCAGUGGGGAAUUUUGGACAAUGGGCGCAAGCCUGAUCCAGCUAUUCCGCGUGUGGGAUGAAGGCCCUCGGGUUGUAAACCACUUUUGUAGAGAACGAAAAGACACCUUCGAAUAAAGGGUGUUGCUGACGGUACUCUAAGAAUAAGCACCGGCUAACUACGUGCCAGCAGCCGCGGUAAUACGUAGGGGGCAAGCGUUAUCCGGAUUUACUGGGUGUAAAGGGGGCGCAGACGGCAGCGCAAGCCAGGAGUGAAAGCCCGGGGCCCCACCCCGGGACUGCUCUUGGAAC
This 305-nucleotide ribosomal RNA is filed under the name uncultured bacterium. Its description in RNAcentral is "bacterial SSU rRNA". It matches the Rfam family "Bacterial small subunit ribosomal RNA", at positions 336 to 633 of the family's 1533-position model. The record is from RNAcentral.